AGAAAUUUAGGUUAACUAUAAAACCUAGAGCCUUCAAAGCCCUCAAUAGAAGUUAAAAUCCUUCUAAUUUCUG
RNAcentral lists this transfer RNA (73 nucleotides) under Anomaloglossus stepheni (Stephen's rocket frog). Its description in RNAcentral is "tRNA-Trp". It matches the Rfam family "tRNA". From Rfam's summary of the family: Transfer RNA (tRNA) molecules are approximately 80 nucleotides in length. Their secondary structure includes four short double-helical elements and three loops (D, anti-codon, and T loops). The record is from RNAcentral. Lineage: Eukaryota; Metazoa; Chordata; Amphibia; Anura; Aromobatidae.